RNAcentral lists this non-coding RNA (83 nucleotides) under pig gut metagenome. RNAcentral describes it as "Glycine riboswitch". It matches the Rfam family "Glycine riboswitch aptamer", at positions 8 to 87 of the family's 94-position model. Rfam says of the family: This family represents the bacterial glycine riboswitch. Glycine riboswitches usually consist of two metabolite-binding aptamers domains with similar structures in tandem. The aptamers cooperatively bind glycine to regulate the expression of downstream genes. The record is from RNAcentral.
CAUAACUUUGGAGAAGCUCAUUAAAUUGAGUGCCGAAGGGGCAAAGCGGGUUUCCGCUAAUCUCUCAGGCAAAAGGACAAAGU